CACUGCCUACCAGACAUAGAUAGGGAUCAAAGGGGGGAGCUGGGCCAGUCAAACGCAGAUCGAGAGCUCCUAAAAGUGCAGCACUGUAUCAGGCUGUUCCAGCUCUGCGGACUGACAAGAUCCAACUGACAACCAAUAUGUCUGACGCUCCAGCCGAAGAAUCAGCGCCGACCAUAGAGGAGGUCAACACAGCGCCGGUAGAGAACCCCUGCUCUGAACUCAAAGCUGCCAUGAAAAAAUGUGCAGCAGAGAAGGGUGAAGAAAACUGCCAGGAUCUAAUUGAAGCCUAUAAAGAAUGUAUGAAAUCUCUGGGACUACAAAUCUAACGUAUGAUGAGGUUGUUAUUCCAGAGAGUCUGUGUGUUCUGAAUCCUCCACUUCCCCAUCAUCCUGUCCCCUUUAAAUCCGACCAUUCUCUUGGGAUGGACAGAUGGGAGAGCUUUGCUACAUAUGAUGAUGCGCUGUUUGUGUCCCAGCUGCUGGUCAUCUGUGUUAAUUUUACCUUGUAUGCCUCUUGAUAAUGGGACACACGCAGACUCGGACAAGAAACACCUCGGAACCAUGAUGACGACUAAUAUAAAACUGUAUACGUUUAGAAUUAUCCUAUUUCCCAUGUUUAAAUAUUUGCAGAUACAGCAUUAGGCGAACAAUUCACAAAACUUCAACAGGAAAGACGUCCAACAUCAGGACGGGUGAAAAAAAAGGGCAAGACAUAUUUCAAAAAUGUAAUGACCAAUUUCUGGGACCUUCAUUGUCGGUCAGUGUUGUCCAUCUAUACUUGUGUGAAUACUUCCAAUGCUAAGAAAACUCAGGCAGAAGUCUGUCAUUGUUAUUAAUGGCCUAUCAGCCACCAAGAACUUGGAAAAAAAAAACAUUCAAAUUAAAUAAACCAAUAAACGGAACAUGUUUUGCUUGUU
This is a long non-coding RNA of Bufo gargarizans (Asiatic toad), 916 nucleotides long. RefSeq lists it as uncharacterized. NCBI's taxonomy places the organism in Eukaryota, Metazoa, Chordata, Amphibia, Anura, Bufonidae. The record is from RefSeq and is a predicted model, not a curated record. The transcript is spliced from 3 exons.